Molecule: ribosomal RNA, 515 nt
Filed under: uncultured archaeon
Lineage: Archaea
Description: bacterial SSU rRNA
Rfam family: Archaeal small subunit ribosomal RNA
Source: RNAcentral
AACCUUUACACUGCACGACAGUGCGAUAGGGGGACUCCGAGUGCGAGGGCAUAGAGCCCUCGCUUUUGUACACCGUAAGGUGGUGUACGAAUAAGAACUGGGCAAGACCGGUGCCAGCCGCCGCGGUAAUACCGGCAGUUCGAGUGAUGGCCGAUUUUAUUGGGCCUAAAGCGUUCGUAGCUGGCCGAUCAAGUCUGUCGGGAAAUCUGCUCGCCUAACGAGCAGGCGUCCGGCGGAAACUGAUCGGCUUGGGACCGGAAGACUCGAGGGGUACGUCCGGGGUAGGAGUGAAAUCCUGUAAUCCUGGACGGACCACCGAUGGCGAAAGCACCUCGAGAGCACGGAUCCGACAGUGAGGAACGAAAGCUGGGGUCUCGAACCGGAUUAGAUACCCGGGUAGUCCCAGCUGUCAACGAUGCCCGCUAGGUAUGGCGCAGGCUACGAGCCUGUGCUAUGCCGUAGCGAAGGCGCUAAGCGGGCCGCCUGGGAAGUACGUCUGCAAGGAUGAAACUUAA